ACUCCUACGGGAGGCAGCAGUGGGGAAUAUUGCACAAUGGGCGGAAGCCUGAUGCAGCGACGCCGCGUGAGGGAUGACGGCCUUCGGGUUGUAAACCUCUUUCAGUAGGGAAGAAGCCGCGAGGUGACGGUACCUGCAGAAGAAGCGCCGGCUAACUACGUGCCAGCAGCCGCGGUAAU
This 179-nucleotide ribosomal RNA is filed under the name uncultured Actinomycetes bacterium. RNAcentral describes it as "uncultured actinobacterium partial 16S ribosomal RNA". It matches the Rfam family "Bacterial small subunit ribosomal RNA", at positions 335 to 524 of the family's 1533-position model. Lineage: Bacteria; Bacillati; Actinomycetota; Actinomycetes. The record is from RNAcentral.